ACCAGACUCCUACGGGAGGCAGCAGUGGGGGAUAUUGCACAAUGGGGGGAACCCUGAUGCAGCGACGCCGCGUGGGUGAAGAAGCGCCUCGGCGCGUAAAGCCCUGUCAGCAGGGAAGAAAAUGACGGUACCUGAAGAAGAAGCCCCGGCUAACUACGUGCCAGCAGCCGCGGUAAUACGUAGGGGGCAAGCGUUAUCCGGAUUUACUGGGUGUAAAGGGGGCGCAGACGGCGAUGCAAGCCAGGAGUGAAAGCCCGGGGCCCAACCCCGGGACUGCUCUUGGAACUGCGUGGCUGGAGUGCAGGAGGGGCAGGCGGAAUUCCUGGUGUAGCGGUGAAAUGCGUAGAUAUCAGGAGGAACACCGGUGGCGAAGGCGGCCUGCUGGACUGCAACUGACGUUGAGGCCCGAAAGCGUGGGGAGCAAACAGGAUUAGAUACCCUUGUAAA
This 447-nucleotide ribosomal RNA is filed under the name uncultured bacterium. RNAcentral's name for it is "bacterial SSU rRNA". It matches the Rfam family "Bacterial small subunit ribosomal RNA", at positions 330 to 794 of the family's 1533-position model. The record is from RNAcentral.